RNAcentral lists this ribosomal RNA (371 nucleotides) under uncultured organism. Its description in RNAcentral is "bacterial SSU rRNA". It matches the Rfam family "Bacterial small subunit ribosomal RNA", at positions 526 to 896 of the family's 1533-position model. The record is from RNAcentral.
CGGGGGGGGCAAGCGUUGUUCGGAAUUACUGGGCGUAAAGGGCUCGUAGGUGGCCAACUAAGUCAGACGUGAAAUCCCUCAGCUUAACUGGGGAACUGCGUCUGAUACUGGAUGGCUUGAGUUUGGGAGAGGGAUGCGGAAUUCCAGGUGUAGCGGUGAAAUGCGUAGAUAUCUGGAGGAACACCGGUGGCGAAGGCGGCAUCCUGGACCAACACUGACACUGAGGAGCGAAAGCCAGGGGAGCAAACGGGAUUAGAUACCCCGGUAGUCCUGGCCCUAAACGAUGAAUGCUUGGUGUGGCGGGUAUCGAUCCCUGCCGUGCCGAAGCUAACGCAUUAAGCAUUCCGCCUGGGGAUACGGUCGCAAGGCUG